UGCCCUAACUCUUCCCUCUCAAAUUUUCUCUGCAAACUUUUAUCUCACCAAACCCACACCUACAAAGGAGAAAAACUAUCUCCUUCAACACAAUUUCCCUCAAACACCUACACACCACAUUUCCCUCUCCUGUGCUUUGCCUUGUCCGGCGCCGGAGCUGGAAUUCCGGUCGCACACACACACACACACACACCACGACACCACAAACACCCCUCGUUCCCUCCCUGCAACCCCGACGAGCAAAAACAGCCGGCCCCCACCCUCUGGUGGUGGCACACGGCGCUGAAAGAUGCAGGAAGGAAGUGAAGACAGAGAGAGAAGGGAACGGCGGUUGACCGGCGACGGAGCUGUCACUCCGACGGCGGCGACGGGAGUCGUUUGUUGUCUCUUUCCAUUCAAUCUCAGAUCAGCAGGGUUCUUCUUGUCCAGGUCAGGUCAGACGCACUGCGGCUCGGGUAAUCUCGGGAGAUUCAGGUCAGUGACUCAAGUAUUCAGAUUGUGUCGUUUUUUUUUUCGGGUUCUACUCGGGUCAACCGCAAGUGUGUUCGGGUCAGAUUCAGUCGGAUUUUGAGUUUUGGUUUCGGUUUGUUUCUGUUCGUUUACAUAACAAGUCUAGUCGCUGCGCAUUCGCCGGAAAAAAAAAAUAAAAACUCGAAGAGCCGAACGGAGAUCGAAGGCAUCUUCUCGACUAGUUUCGAUUGUGACAGAUGAAUCCAAUAGGAUUGCCUAGAAACGCAUUUAAACUUUAUUGCUCGUUGUAUUGUAAUUUACCUUUAUUCCUGUUGUAUUCUGUUUCCAAUACUUGUAAUAAUUAAUUAUCAAUGAAAUGAAAUUUAAUUAUUUGAAUA
This is a long non-coding RNA of Helianthus annuus (common sunflower), 848 nucleotides long. RefSeq lists it as uncharacterized. The record is from RefSeq and is a predicted model, not a curated record. NCBI's taxonomy places the organism in Eukaryota, Viridiplantae, Streptophyta, Magnoliopsida, Asterales, Asteraceae. The transcript is spliced from 2 exons.